Molecule: ribosomal RNA, 301 nt
Filed under: uncultured bacterium
Lineage: Bacteria
Description: partial 16S ribosomal RNA
Rfam family: Bacterial small subunit ribosomal RNA
Source: RNAcentral
CAGUCGCCGCGGGAAUACGUAGGUCCCGAGCGUUGUCCGGAUUUAUUGGGCGUAAAGCGAGCGCAGGCGGUUAGAUAAGUCUGAAGUUAAAGGCUGUGGCUUAACCAUAGUACGCUUUGGAAACUGUUUAACUUGAGUGCAAGAGGGGAGAGUGGAAUUCCAUGUGUAGCGGUGAAAUGCGUAGAUAUAUGGAGGAACACCGGUGGCAAAAGCGGCUCUCUGGCUUGUAACUGACGCUGAGGCUCGAAAGCGUGGGGAGCAAACAGGAUUAGAUACCCGCGUAGUCCCUGUCUCUUAUACC